CAUGCAAGUCGAACGAAGCUUUCUUUCACCGAAUGCUUGCAUUCACCGAAAGAAGCUUAGUGGCGAACGGGUGAGUUACACGUAGGCAACCUGCCCAAAAGAGGGGGAUAACACUUGGAAACAGGUGCUAAUACCGCAUAACCAUGAACACCGCAUGAUGUUCAUGUAAAAGACGGCUUUUGCUGUCACUUUUGGAUGGGCCUGCGGCGUAUUAACUUGUUGGUGGGGUAACGGCCUACCAAGGUGAUGAUACGUACCCGAACUGAGAGGUUGAUCGGCCACAUUGGGACUGAAACACGGCCCAAACUCCUACGGGAGGCAGCAGUAGGGAAUCUUCCACAAUGGACGAAAGUCUGAUGGAGCAACGCCGCGUGAAUGAAGAAGGCCUUCGGGUCGUAAAAUUCUGUUGUCAGAGAAGAACGUGCGUGAGAGUAACUGUUCACGUAUUGACGGUAUCUGACCAGAAAGCCACGGCUAACUACGUGCCAGCAGCCGCGGUAAUACGUAGGUGGCGAGCGUUGUCCGGAUUUAUUGGGCGUAAAGGGAACGCAGGCGGUCUUUUAAGUCUGAUGUGAAAGCCUUCGGCUUAACCGAAGUAGUGCAUUGGAAACUGGAAGACUUGAGUGCAGAAGAAGGAGAGUGGAACUCCAUGU
This 653-nucleotide ribosomal RNA is filed under the name Ligilactobacillus ruminis. Its description in RNAcentral is "bacterial SSU rRNA". It matches the Rfam family "Bacterial small subunit ribosomal RNA", at positions 54 to 674 of the family's 1533-position model. The record is from RNAcentral. Lineage: Bacteria; Bacillati; Bacillota; Bacilli; Lactobacillales; Lactobacillaceae.